ANNNNGNNGCAGGGCUAAACAUGCAAGUCGAGCGGUAACAGGGGUAGCUUGCUACCCGCUGACGAGCGGCGGACGGGUGAGUAAUGCAUAGGAAUCUGCCCGAUAGUGGGGGAUAACCUGGGGAAACCCAGGCUAAUACCGCAUACGUCCUACGGGAGAAAGGGGGCUUCGGCUCCCGCUAUUGGAUGAGCCUAUGUCGGAUUAGCUAGUUGGUGAGGUAAAGGCUCACCAAGGCUGCGAUCCGUAGCUGGUCUGAGAGGAUGAUCAGCCACAUCGGGACUGAGACACGGCCCGAACUCCUACGGGAGGCAGCAGUGGGGAAUAUUGGACAAUGGGGGCAACCCUGAUCCAGCCAUGCCGCGUGUGUGAAGAAGGCCCUCGGGUUGUAAAGCACUUUCAGCGAGGAAGAACGCCUAGCGGUUAAUACCCGCUAGGAAAGACAUCACUCGCAGAAGAAGCACCGGCUAACUCCGUGCCAGCAGCCGCGGUAAUACGGAGGGUGCAAGCGUUAAUCGGAAUUACUGGGCGUAAAGCGCGCGUAGGUGGCUUGAUAAGCCUGUUGUGAAANCCCCGGGCUCAACCUGGGAACGGCAUCCUCU
RNAcentral lists this ribosomal RNA (599 nucleotides) under bacterium HPCPS20. RNAcentral describes it as "bacterial SSU rRNA". It matches the Rfam family "Bacterial small subunit ribosomal RNA", at positions 34 to 634 of the family's 1533-position model. The record is from RNAcentral.